GUAGGUGGCAAGCGUUGUCCGGAAUUAAUUGGGCGUAAAGCGCGCGCAGGCGGUUCUUUAAGUCUGAUGUGAAAGCCCACCGGCUCAACCGUGGAGGGUCAUUGGAAACUGGAGAACUUGAGUACAGAAGAGGAAAGCGGAAUUCCACGUGUAGCGGUGAAAUGCGUAGAGAUGUGGAGGAACACCAGUGGCGAAGGCGGCUUUUCUGGUCUGUAACUGACGCUGAGGCGCGAAAGCGUGGGGAGCAAACAGGGAUUAGAUACCCUGGUAGUCCACGCCGUAAACGAUGAGUGCUAAGUGUUAGGGGGUUUCCGCCCCCUUAGUGCUGCAGCUAACGCAUUAAGCACUCCGCCUGGGGAUACGGCCGCAAGGCUG
Molecule: ribosomal RNA, 375 nt
Filed under: uncultured organism
Description: partial 16S ribosomal RNA
Rfam family: Bacterial small subunit ribosomal RNA
Source: RNAcentral